GAUUAACGCUAGCGGCAGGCCUAAUACAUGCAAGUCGAGGGGCAGUUUUGUAGCAAUACAAAAGCGACCGGCGUACGGGUGCGUAACACGUAUGCAACCUACCUUUAACUGGGGCAUAGCCCCGAGAAAUCGGGAUUAAUACCCCAUAACAUUGCGAAAAGGCAUCUUUUUGCAAUUAAAGCUCCGGCGGUUAAAGAUGGGCAUGCGCGACAUUAGUUUGUUGGUGAGGUAACGGCUCACCAAGACUACGAUGUCUAGGGGUUCUGAGAGGAUUUUCCCCCACACUGGUACUGAGACACGGACCAGACUCCUACGGGAGGCAG
RNAcentral lists this ribosomal RNA (323 nucleotides) under uncultured Bacteroidota bacterium. RNAcentral's name for it is "bacterial SSU rRNA". It matches the Rfam family "Bacterial small subunit ribosomal RNA", at positions 28 to 351 of the family's 1533-position model. The record is from RNAcentral. Lineage: Bacteria; Pseudomonadati; Bacteroidota.